UUCGUCAAAUUACAACAAAACUUCACAAUUUAUAAUCAGGAACAUCUCGGCAUCAUGUAUACCAACUUUGACAUGAAUCGGAUCAACCGCCCAUACAGAAAAAUCAAGGGAAAAAAUAUAUUCACAUAUAUAUGCAGCUACAUCCAGCUUGUAUUUAAACAGAUGGCUACAAUAUAUUUAAUACAUAUAUAGUACAAAAAUGUAUAUAUGCAAGUAUAUGUGGGACCCAGCAAUGUAACAUAUAUGUGGAUAUUUUACAUGAACAUAUAUGGUGAAUAUAUUCAAUUAACUUAUUUGCACUCAGGCAGUGAUGGGUGGGGUCAGAGCCCGUCCCUUAUUAGACAUUCUCUGGUGGGGUUUACAAAAAAGGCUAACUUCAAAAUACGUCACUACCAACGUACUCUAAGGUCGUUGGAAUAACUGUUAAAAUGUUUGCAGCUUUUUCACUAGUUCUACAUAAGCAUAACUAACAGCUACUACUAGUCCAAAUGUAAAACGUUUGCUCUGGUUAAGUGGAUUGGCGGGGAGUAUGAGGGCAAAACCAGCAUUUUGCCGACUGACUGCAUUAGUAAACCUAACGUUAAUGAGGAAGACUUUUUCAACGGCUCAUAAAGUUAUGGGACAACAUCUUACUAUCAACUAUGUGGUGGAGGGGAGGAAGGCAGCCAAGAGGUAGUUGGCCGGUUUUCGAGGCCAUGGUGGUCAAAAUUGCUGAGAGGCAACACUCGAAAGCUACAUCAAGGACACCGGAGGAUGGACCCGAAGACCUGAGACCAAGACGACCCAAGCCCAACCCAUAGUAUGCUUCACUGACAAAUGUUGAUGCUUCAUCAUCACAUAGACCAAAGGUUUCAGAGAAGGCUGGUAGAGCUCUCUGAGUGUGAGCUGUGGGAGAUAACCAAGAACUGACAACCACCUACAGAAGAGGUGGCGAUAAUGGCUCUCCAAGAGGAGGUUGUGAGUCUGAAGGCUUUUAUUCAACAAGGAGGCACUUAGAGGGAAUGCCUGGACCCUGAGAGGACUAAGACGAUAAUUGAGGCCACCCUGAAGCAGUUCCCAGGCUAGACACUCACUCCAGAUUGCUGGGCCAGGCAAUAAAUGCCAAAGUGACAGAACUGAGGUUCCAUAACAAAAACAACAAGAUUUUCAAUAAAAUAGAAUAAAAGAUAA
Alosa sapidissima (American shad) is the source of this 1170-nucleotide long non-coding RNA. RefSeq lists it as uncharacterized. NCBI's taxonomy places the organism in Eukaryota, Metazoa, Chordata, Actinopteri, Clupeiformes, Clupeidae. The transcript is spliced from 5 exons. The record is from RefSeq and is a predicted model, not a curated record.